Molecule: ribosomal RNA, 484 nt
Filed under: uncultured bacterium
Lineage: Bacteria
Description: partial 16S ribosomal RNA
Rfam family: Bacterial small subunit ribosomal RNA
Source: RNAcentral
AUUGAACGCUGGCGGAAUGCUUUACACAUGCAAGUCGAACGGCAGCACGGGGGCAGCCCUGGUGGCGAGUGGCGAACGGGUGAGUAAUACAUCGGAACGUGCCCGGUCGCGGGGGAUAACGUAGCGAAAGUGACGCUAAUACCGCAUACGAUCUGAGGAUGAAAUCGGGGGACCUUCGGGUCUCGCACCAUCGUAGCGGCCGAUGUCAGAUUAGGUAGUUGGUGGGGUAAAGGCCUACCAAGCCGACGAUCCGUAGCUGGUCUGAGAGGACGACCAGCCACACUGGGACUGAGACACGGCACAGACUCCUACGGGAGGAAGCAGUGGGGAAUUUUGGACGAUGGGCGCAAGCCUGAUACAGCCCUACCGCGUGAAGGAUGAUGGACUUCUGCUUGUAAAGUGCUUUUGUCCGGAACGAUGAGGAUCUGGCUAACACCUGGGGAUAAUGACGGUACCGUAAGAAUAAGCACCGGCUAACUCCGUG